ACCUACUUAACUCAGUGGUUAAAGUACUACUUUCAUACGGUGGGAGUCAUUGGAUCAAAUCCAAUAGUAGGUA
This 73-nucleotide transfer RNA is filed under the name Nicotiana sylvestris (wood tobacco). It matches the Rfam family "tRNA". Rfam says of the family: Transfer RNA (tRNA) molecules are approximately 80 nucleotides in length. Their secondary structure includes four short double-helical elements and three loops (D, anti-codon, and T loops). Lineage: Eukaryota; Viridiplantae; Streptophyta; Magnoliopsida; Solanales; Solanaceae. The record is from Rfam by way of RNAcentral.